This 446-nucleotide ribosomal RNA is filed under the name uncultured bacterium. RNAcentral describes it as "bacterial SSU rRNA". It matches the Rfam family "Bacterial small subunit ribosomal RNA", at positions 343 to 805 of the family's 1533-position model. The record is from RNAcentral.
GGGAGGCAGCAGUGGGGAAUAUUGCACAAUGGGGGAAACCCUGAUGCAGCGACGCCGCGUGAGUGAAGAAGUAUUUCGGUAUGUAAAGCUCUAUCAGCAGGAACGAGACAAGACGGUACCUGACUAAGAAGCCCCGGCUAACUACGUGCCAGCAGCCGCGGUAAUACGUAGGGGGCAAGCGUUAUCCGGAAUCACUGGGUGUAAAGGGAGCGUAGACGGCUGUGCAAGCCUGAAGUGAAAGGCGGGGGCCCAACCCCUGGACUGCUUUGGGAACUGUACGGCUGGAGUGCAGGAGAGGUAAGUGGAAUUCCUAGUGUAGCGGUGAAAUGCGUAGAUAUUAGGAGGAACACCAGUGGCGAAGGCGGCUUACUGGACUGUAACUGACGUUGAGGCUCGAAAGCGUGGGGAGCAAACAGGAUUAGAUACCCUGGUAGUCCACGCCGUAA